RNAcentral lists this ribosomal RNA (268 nucleotides) under uncultured bacterium. RNAcentral's name for it is "partial small subunit ribosomal RNA". It matches the Rfam family "Bacterial small subunit ribosomal RNA", at positions 26 to 284 of the family's 1533-position model. The record is from RNAcentral.
AGAGCGAACGCUGGCGGCGUGCUUAACACAUGCAAGUCGAACGCGCAGCAUUCUGUAGCAAUACAGGGUGUGGGCGCGUGGCGAACGGGUGCGUAACACGUGGAUAACCUUCCUUGAGGUGGGGAAUAACCCAGUGAAAAUUGGGCUAAUACCGCAUAACAUCGCGAUGGCACAUGCUGAUGCGAUCAAAGGCGUAAGUCGUCGGAGGUGGAGCCCGCGCCCGAUUAGCUAGUUGGUGAGGUAACGGCUCACCAAGGCAAUGAUCGGU